Non-coding RNA from Phrynosoma platyrhinos (Desert horned lizard), 71 nucleotides. The record is from the annotation of a GenBank genome assembly. Lineage: Eukaryota; Metazoa; Chordata; Lepidosauria; Squamata; Phrynosomatidae.
ACCAACAUAGUGUAGUGGUUUGAGUGUUGGACUAUAACUCUGGAGAUCAGGGUUUGAUUCCCUUCUUGGCC